This 497-nucleotide ribosomal RNA is filed under the name uncultured bacterium. RNAcentral's name for it is "partial 16S ribosomal RNA". It matches the Rfam family "Bacterial small subunit ribosomal RNA", at positions 28 to 507 of the family's 1533-position model. The record is from RNAcentral.
GAUGAACGCUGGCGGCGUGCCUAAUACAUGCAAGUCGAGCGAACAGACGAGGAGCUUGCUCCUCUGACGUUAGCGGCGGACGGGUGAGUAACACGUGGAUAACCUACCUAUAAGACUGGGAUAACUUCGGGAAACCGGAGCUAAUACCGGAUAAUAUAUUGAACCGCAUGGUUCAAUAGUGAAAGACGGUUUUGCUGUCACUUUUAGAUGGAUCCGCGCCGCAUUAGCUAGUUGGUAAGGUAACGGCUUACCAAGGCAACGAUGCGUAGCCGACCUGAGAGGGUGAUCGGCCACACUGGAACUGAGACACGGUCCAGACUCCUACGGGAGGCAGCAGUAGGGAAUCUUCCGCAAUGGGCGAAAGCUUGACGGAGCAACGCCGCGUGAGUGAUGAAGGUCUUCGGAUCGUAAAACUCUGUUAUUAGGGAAGAACAAAUGUGUAAGUAACUAUGCACGUCUUGACGGUACCUAAUCAGAAAGCCACGGCUAACUACGUG